RNAcentral lists this ribosomal RNA (492 nucleotides) under uncultured bacterium. RNAcentral's name for it is "partial 16S ribosomal RNA". It matches the Rfam family "Bacterial small subunit ribosomal RNA", at positions 29 to 507 of the family's 1533-position model. The record is from RNAcentral.
AGUGAACGCUGGCGGUAGGCCUAACACAUGCAAGUCGAACGGCAGCACAGUAAGAGCUUGCUCUUACGGGUGGCGAGUGGCGGACGGGUGAGGAAUACAUCGGAAUCUACUUUUUCGUGGGGGAUAACGUAGGGAAACUUACGCUAAUACCGCAUACGACCUACGGGUGGAAGCAGGGGAUCUUCGGACCUUGCGCGAUUGAAUGAGCCGAUGUCGGAUUAGCUAGUUGGCGGGGUAAAGGCCCACCAAGGCGACGAUCCGUAGCUGGUCUGAGAGGGUGAUCAGCCACACUGGAACUGAGACACGGUCCAGACUCCUACGGGAGGCAGCAGUGGGGAAUAUUGGACAAUGGGCGCAAGCCUGAUCCAGCCAUACCGCGUGGGUGAAGAAGGCCUUCGGGUUGUAAAGCCCUUUUGUUGGGAAAGAAAAGCAGCAGGUUAAUACCCCGCUGUUCUGACGGUACCCAAAGAAUAAGCACCGGCUAACUUCGUG